RNAcentral lists this ribosomal RNA (372 nucleotides) under uncultured organism. RNAcentral describes it as "bacterial SSU rRNA". It matches the Rfam family "Bacterial small subunit ribosomal RNA", at positions 526 to 896 of the family's 1533-position model. The record is from RNAcentral.
CAGAGGUCCCAAGCGUUGUUCGGAUUCACUGGGCGUAAAGGGUGCGUAGGUGGUGAGGUAAGUUUGAUGUGAAAUCUCCGGGCUCAACCCGGAAAUGGCAUUGAAUACUAUCUCGCUAGAGGAGUGGAGGGGGGACUGGAAUACUUGGUGUAGCAGUGAAAUGCGUAGAUAUCAAGUGGAACACCAGUGGCGAAGGCGAGUCCCUGGACACUUCCUGACACUGAGGCACGAAAGCUAGGGGAGCAAACAGGAUUAGAUACCCUGGUAGUCCUAGCCCUAAACCGUGCACGUUUGCUGUAAAAGGAAUCGACCCCUUUUGUGGCGAAGCUAACGCGUUAAACGUGCCGCCUGGGGAGUACGGUCGCAAGAUUA